RNAcentral lists this unclassified non-coding RNA (281 nucleotides) under Canarium odontophyllum. RNAcentral's name for it is "partial external transcribed spacer". The record is from RNAcentral. Lineage: Eukaryota; Viridiplantae; Streptophyta; Magnoliopsida; Sapindales; Burseraceae.
AAUUCGAUGGCUCUUUUGCCUCUCUCCGUCCCAUGCCCUCACGGGCGGUGGGUCGGACGUCGGGCAGGCCUCGUGUUCCCGGCAUGCCUAGCCCAGUUGCGUGGCUGCCUCGGUGCAUGAGGCCCUUUGCCCGUGCUCUCGGAUUCGGAAUGUUAUGUGCUGCGGGUGGGUGGCUCAUCGGAGGCCCUCCAUCCGAUCAAGCAACGCAUUUUGUCCAACGAGACGAACGACCGCUGCACCCGUCUUUGGGCCUGCGGCCUCACGGCUCGGCACGGCUCAUG